Molecule: unclassified non-coding RNA, 335 nt
Filed under: soil metagenome
Description: partial contains 5.8S ribosomal RNA, internal transcribed spacer 2, and large subunit ribosomal RNA
Rfam family: 5.8S ribosomal RNA (bases 1-120)
Source: RNAcentral
GAUGAAGAACGUAGCGAAAUGCGAUAAGUAAUGUGAAUUGCAGAAUUCAGUGAAUCAUCGAAUCUUUGAACGCACAUUGCGCCCGCCAGUAUUCUGGCGGGCAUGUCUGUUCGAGCGUCAUUUCAACCAUCAAGCCCCCGGCUUGUGUUGGGGACCUGCGGCUGCCGCAGGCCCUGAAAACCAGUGGCGGGCUCGCUAGUCACUCCGAGCGUAGUAAUACAUCUCGCUCAGGGCGUGCUGCGGGUUCCGGCCGUUAAAAAGCCUUAUUUACCCAAGGUUGACCUCGGAUCAGGUAGGAAGACACGCUGAACUUAAGCAUAUCAAUAAGCGGAGGA